AUCCUCAGGUUCAUAAGCAUGAUGAUUGGGUGUUCAUGCUCCAUGCAUGACAUGUGCCUCCUUUGAACUUUAUUAGGAUGUUGGCACGUUGCCCAUCUGACA
Small nucleolar RNA from Cavia porcellus (domestic guinea pig), 102 nucleotides. It matches the Rfam family "Small nucleolar RNA U13". NCBI's taxonomy places the organism in Eukaryota, Metazoa, Chordata, Mammalia, Rodentia, Caviidae. The record is from Rfam.